AAAGAGACCGGUUCACUGUGA
RNAcentral lists this microRNA (21 nucleotides) under Ovis aries (sheep). RNAcentral describes it as "mir-128-3p". Lineage: Eukaryota; Metazoa; Chordata; Mammalia; Artiodactyla; Bovidae. The record is from RNAcentral.